CCUCCUUGUGGUAUUGUUUGUAAAAACGUCAAAACGACCUCAGGAAUGAUACAAUAUUUUAAUCAUUUAGUUUUUAAUACAUUUAAUAUAUGAGUGUUAUGGGAGCAAUAGAAGUAUCACUGUCUAGAUUAACCUAACCUUAAUUUCUUCAAAAUCUACAAUACAAAGAUACAUGAUUUCGAUUGAGUAAAACAAGUACAACAGUCACUCGAUAAUUCGAAAUUCAGGGGACCUAGUUAAAAAUUCGAUUUAUAGAAGUUUUUGAUUACUGAGUGUUCGAAUAAUUGAAGGAAAAAAAAUUGAUUCAAAUUAAAGAGAGGUCAAAAAUUAUUGUAUAUGAGCAAGCGGAAUCAACAAUCAACAUAUAAAAAUAUUCAACGGAUUCGAUGAUCGUAAGUUUCUACCAGGUAAAAAGGUCAUUUUAGCGGAAUUGAUGCAUGCUCCUUAGUCGAUCGAUACGAACUUUUUAAUCAUAAUCAUUAGAGCGUUAUUAUUAACUCCGCGUUUUAGUCAUAUCUCACUAAAAGAUUAAUGAAAAAUAAAACUACA
This is a long non-coding RNA of Melanaphis sacchari, 549 nucleotides long. RefSeq lists it as uncharacterized. The record is from RefSeq and is a predicted model, not a curated record. NCBI's taxonomy places the organism in Eukaryota, Metazoa, Arthropoda, Insecta, Hemiptera, Aphididae. The transcript is spliced from 3 exons.